Oncorhynchus gorbuscha (pink salmon) is the source of this 1187-nucleotide long non-coding RNA. RefSeq lists it as uncharacterized. NCBI's taxonomy places the organism in Eukaryota, Metazoa, Chordata, Actinopteri, Salmoniformes, Salmonidae. The transcript is spliced from 3 exons. The record is from RefSeq and is a predicted model, not a curated record.
UUUAUUUUAUUAAAUUGUGUUGUAUAACUAACUCCAUUGAAAUCAUAUGAUGAAUACAACAUGCUGUUGUUGUGUUAAAUGUUAAAAUCAGAUGUCUGGCCCGUUAGAAAGCUUACUAACGUGAACUUUCAUAUGACAUUGACUGGUUAAAUCCAAUGAGGGUUAGCCAGUUAGCUAGCUAACGUUGACUAACGAUAUGCCUGCCAUAAAACUAGCCAAACGUAACUAAAUAAUCCGGCCAAACCAAAAUCAAUGUUUAGAGUAAUUCAGUUCAUUGACUUGUAAUAAUUAUUGAUAACAACGGGCUAAUUUAUAGACUUGCAUGGCUAACUGGGGGCGUUCCAAAUCAUCUAAGAGGAAACGUUAGUCUUGCUAGCGUGUCAGACUCUAACUUUGGGUGUGUUCGUAAAUUCAAUAUGGGUGUUCGUAAAUGUAGAUCGUUGUCAGAUUGUCCGUUUGUAAAUUUAGAGUUUCGCUCUCGGAGAGUUCAGAGCGCACACCCGGACGCUUUGCCAGACAAGCACCCAAGCUAACUGGCUAACGUUGGGUAGCUUGCUGAUUGGGUAGCUUGCUGAUUAGCUUACAUCCAGACACACGAGAGAACACUUCACUCUGACCAUUUUACUCGCCCAGCAGAGCUGCUGGUUAGGCUGUUUUUAUGUUAUCCAGAGCGUUGGUGACUGUAACAUGCUGACCACACCGCAUACGCGAGUAUUGCAAAAUCCAUUUACACAUACAUGUUAUUCAAUCAUUGCACCCACACUGCUCGUGCAUAAUUAAGUUUCUGUGUGGCCAGCCACUAAAAUAGAACUUGGUUCUUUUUGUGAUGCUCAAGCACUCCCAUCUCCUCAUUGGAUUUUAGGCGUAUAUACCCACGUGAGUGAUUGAAAGCUGAACUGAGGUCCACAUUCGGUUCAUCUUUAUGGUAAUGCACCGUAAAGGUGGUUGCCAACCGCCAUCUAAAGUCCAAAGAAGAAAAAGAAGCCUGAAGGAAUUUACCGUUUUAUCUGUGCAUUAAUUGUUGGAGUAGAGGACCUUGUACAUUUCAGACAGCAAGGUGGUCAUUCUUGCUCAUUGGCAUGUUCUAUGGCAAACAGAGAUAUGACUAUCUGAAGCCAAGAGCUGAGGAAGAGAGGCGUGUUGAGGAAGCAGAGAAGAAGAUACGAGAGGACCAGGAAAAAAUAGCC